UCCCCGUUUAAGCGAGGCAGUCUGUCCAGAGUGCUCCAAACUCUCGUUUGAGUGGCAACAGGACAUAAGGGUUGCGCUCGUUGCGGGACUUAACCCAACAUCUCACGACACGAGCUGACGACAGCCAUGCAGCACCUGUGCAAGCUCCCCUUGCGGGGUCGUCCCACUUUCAUGGUUCUACCACAUGCAUGUCAAGGCCAGGUAAGGUUCUUCGCGUUGCAUCGAAUUAAGCCACAUACUCCACCGCUUGUGCAGGCCCCCGUCAAUUUCUUUGAGUUUUAAUCUUGCGACCGUACUUCCCAGGCGGCGCAUUUAUCGCGUUAGCUUCGCCACAAACGGGGUCGAUUCCGCCCACACCAAACGUGCACCGUUUACUGCCAGGACUAC
RNAcentral lists this unclassified non-coding RNA (387 nucleotides) under uncultured Verrucomicrobiae bacterium. RNAcentral's name for it is "contains 16S-23S intergenic spacer region". Lineage: Bacteria; Pseudomonadati; Verrucomicrobiota; Verrucomicrobiia. The record is from RNAcentral.